Molecule: ribosomal RNA, 486 nt
Filed under: uncultured bacterium
Lineage: Bacteria
Description: bacterial SSU rRNA
Rfam family: Bacterial small subunit ribosomal RNA
Source: RNAcentral
GACGAACGCUGGCGGCGUGGAUUAGGCAUGCAAGUCGAACGGUAUCAUCCUUCGGGGGUGAGAGAGUGGCGAACUGGUGAGUAACACGUAGGUUAUCUACCCUCAAGACGGGGACAACCCAGGGAAACUUGGGGCUAAUACCGGAUGUGAGCAACUUUAGUUGUUUGAAAGGUGGCGUAAGCUGUCGCUUGGGGAUGAGCCUGCGUCCUAUUAGUUAGUUGGUGAGGUAACGGCUCACCUAGGCAAUGAUAGGUAGGCGGCCUUAACGGGUGGUCGCCCACACUGGGAUUGAGAUACGGCCCAGACUCCUACGGGAGGCAGCAGUCGAGAAUAGUCUACAAUGGUCGGAAGACUGAUAGUGCGACGCCGCGUGAACGAUGAAUCCCUUCGGGGUGUAAAGUUCUUUUAUAUGUGAGCAGUGCUUCUUAUAUUAACAGUAUGGGGAGAGAGAUAUUAGCAUAUGAAUAAGCAACGGCUAACUCCGUG